This 1216-nucleotide long non-coding RNA is filed under the name Marmota monax (woodchuck). The record is from RNAcentral. Lineage: Eukaryota; Metazoa; Chordata; Mammalia; Rodentia; Sciuridae.
CUAAACUUCCUCUUGUGGAAAUUUUCUUUUCAUUGCUUUUACUCUAGAUUGUUUUAUUUUUUAUAAAAACCAUUGACCACAUGACCACAGUCUUCACUAACUCAUACUAUAUAGUCAGAGUGUUUAUGUUUAUGUAGUAUUUCUCUCGCUUUUUAACAAUUUUUUAUUUACUUAACAAUGUAGAACUUUGCAGCCAUCAGUAGUUCUGAUGCAAUUGGAAAUUUGGGAAACUUGGUGGAGCUGUUAAUGCAGUGAAUCUUGUAGGUAAAAUAUAUGCAUACUUUUUUUUCUUAAUAUUUUUUAGUUGUAGAUGGACACAGUACCUUUAUUUUAUUUAUGUAUUUUUUUAACGUGGUGCUGAGAAUUGAACUCAGUGCUUCACAUGUGCCAGGCAAGCACUCUACCACUGAGCCACAACCCCAGCCCAUGUGCAUACUUUUGAUAGCACGUAUGCCUCCAUAUGUGCUAUCAAAAGUAUCAAAAGACAUAUGUGCUCUUAAAAGUUGACUUUAUUGGUUUUAUUUUCAGCAAACUGAUGUUAGGCCAUUCAACAUGAAUUUUAUUGUCCUGAUAUUAGUUCAUGUUCUCUUUUUACAACAAAUUAAUGAUCAACAGAAGAUACCAAUUUAAUAUAAAAAGUAUCAGGGCCUUCACAGCCACCAUAGGCUUUCUACUUUCCAUUAUGUUAUAUUCUUGCAAAAGUCUGCUUUGGUUCCACAGGAGCUUUAGUUUCCUGGUGAGAUAGUGAUACAGAAUGUGUCAUCCACUCUGUCUGGAUGAGGCUUAUGUAGCAUUUCUCUACAACUCUUUGCUGUAGUAAUUUUUUAAAAAGCAACCUACACAAAACCUCUUAAAAAGAGUGACAGUAUGGGGCUGGGGAUGUGGCUCAAGCGGUAGCGCGCUCGCCUGGCAUGUGUGCGGCCUGGGUUCGAUCCUCAGCACCACAUACAAACAAAGAUGUUGUGUCCGCCGAAAACUAAAAAAAUAAAUAUUAAAAUUCUCUCUCUCUCUUAAAAAAAAAAAAAAGAGUGACAGUAUGGAGAACUGAGAUGUACUCUUGUUUAUCCAUUAGCAAAAGGUUGGUGGUAUUGUGCUGCAUUUGUACACUAUGAUGGAAUAAUAGUUAUAAUGCAACAAAACAGUUGGUCAUAUUUUUUCAGGCUGGUUUGAUGUUGACUUGAAACUACAAAAAAUACCCUAUUGGGUUAACCUGUUU